Molecule: ribosomal RNA, 257 nt
Filed under: Mycobacterium sp. ISO844_OTU31
Lineage: Bacteria; Bacillati; Actinomycetota; Actinomycetes; Mycobacteriales; Mycobacteriaceae
Also listed under: 3 other names
Description: partial 16S ribosomal RNA
Rfam family: Bacterial small subunit ribosomal RNA
Source: RNAcentral
ACGAACGCUGGCGGCGUGCUUAACACAUGCAAGUCGAACGGAAAGGCCCUUCGGGGUACUCGAGUGGCGAACGGGUGAGUAACACGUGGGUGAUCUGCCCUGCACUUCGGGAUAAGCCUGGGAAACUGGGUCUAAUACCGGAUAUACCUCAUUGGUUGCAUGACUGGUGGGGGAAAGCUUUUGCGGUGUGGGAUGGGCCCGCGGCCUAUCAGCUUGUUGGUGGGGUGAUGGCCUACCAAGGCGUCGACGGGUAGCCG